AAAUUAGAAAGCGAAUAUUGCAUUUAGUUUCGACCUAACUCUUAGGCCUAGGCCUUCUAAUUUA
RNAcentral lists this transfer RNA (64 nucleotides) under Amusiotheres obtusidentatus. RNAcentral's name for it is "tRNA-Arg". The record is from RNAcentral. Lineage: Eukaryota; Metazoa; Arthropoda; Malacostraca; Decapoda; Pinnotheridae.